Molecule: ribosomal RNA, 371 nt
Filed under: uncultured organism
Description: partial 16S ribosomal RNA
Rfam family: Bacterial small subunit ribosomal RNA
Source: RNAcentral
AGAGGGUGCAAGCGUUAAUCGGAUUUACUGGGCGUAAAGGGUGCGUAGGUGGUUGUUUAAGUCAGAUGUGAAAGUCCUGGGGGCUCAACCUGGGAAGGUCAUUUGAAACUGAAUAACUCGAGUCGAGGAGAGGGGAGUGGAAUUUCCGGUGUAGCGGUGAAAUGCGUAGAUAUCGGAAAGAACACCAGUGGCGAAGGCGACUCCCUGGACUCAGACUGACACUGAGGCACGAAAGCGUGGUAGCGAACAGGAUUAGAUACCCUGGUAGUCCACGCCGUAAACGAUGAGUACUAGCUGUCGAGCAGCAUGACUGUUCGGUAGCGGAGCUAACGCAUUAAGUACUCCGCCUGGGGACUACGGCCGCAAGGCUA